This 495-nucleotide ribosomal RNA is filed under the name uncultured bacterium. RNAcentral's name for it is "partial 16S ribosomal RNA". It matches the Rfam family "Bacterial small subunit ribosomal RNA", at positions 30 to 507 of the family's 1533-position model. The record is from RNAcentral.
UGAACGCUGGCGGCGUGCCUAAUACAUGCAAGUCGAGCGAACGGACGAGAAGCUUGCUUCUCUGAUGUUAGCGGCGGACGGGUGAGUAACACGUGGAUAACCUACCUAUAAGACUGGGAUAACUUCGGGAAACCGGAGCUAAUACCGGAUAAUAUUUUGAACCGCAUGGUUCAAAAGUGAAAGACGGUCUUGCUGUCACUUAUAGAUGGAUCCGCGCUGCAUUAGCUAGUUGGUAAGGUAACGGCUUACCAAGGCAACGAUGCAUAGCCGACCUGAGAGGGUGAUCGGCCACACUGGAACUGAGACACGAUCCAGACUCCUACGGGAGGCAGCAGUAGGGAAUCUUCCGCAAUGGGCGAAAGCCUGACGGAGCAACGCCGCGUGAGUGAUGAAGGUCUUCGGAUCGUAAAACUCUGUUAUUAGGGAAGAACAUAUGUGUAAGUAACUGUGCACAUCUUGACGGUACCUAAUCAGAAAGCCACGGCUAACUACGUG